UACGGAGGGGGCGAGCGUUGUCCGGAAUCACUGGGCGUAAAGGGCGCGUAGGCGGCCUGAUAAGUCGGGGGUGAAAUCCUGCGGCUUAACCGCAGGGCUGCCUUCUAAACUGUCAGGCUCGAGCACAGUAGAGGCAGGUGGAAUUCCCGGUGUAGCGGUGGAAUGCGUAGAGAUCGGGAAGAACAUCGGUGGCGAAGGCGGCCUGCUGGGCUGUUGCUGACGCUGAGGCGCGACAGCGUGGGGAGCAAACAGG
This 253-nucleotide ribosomal RNA is filed under the name uncultured bacterium. Its description in RNAcentral is "partial 16S ribosomal RNA". It matches the Rfam family "Bacterial small subunit ribosomal RNA", at positions 524 to 776 of the family's 1533-position model. The record is from RNAcentral.